This 517-nucleotide ribosomal RNA is filed under the name Vittaforma corneae. RNAcentral's name for it is "SSU rRNA". It matches the Rfam family "Microsporidia small subunit ribosomal RNA", at positions 50 to 598 of the family's 1311-position model. The record is from RNAcentral. Lineage: Eukaryota; Fungi; Microsporidia; Nosematidae.
AUGCAUGUUUCCGCAAUCAGGGACGAAUAGCUCAGUAAAACUGCGAUGAUUUAGUCUGGCUGUGUAGAUAACUACGUGAAAAUGUAGCUAAGGGAAGGCAGAAUCAGACGCAGUGACUAUCAGUUAGUUGGUAGUGUAAUGGACUACCAAGACAGUGACGGUUGACGGGAAAUUAGGGUUUUGUACCGGAGAGGGAGCCUGAGAGAUUGCUCCCACGUCCAAGGACGGCAGCAGGCGCGAAAAUUGCCCACUCUUUGCAGGAGGCAGUUAUGAGACGUGAAGAUGAGUAUCUUGUAAAGAGGGAUAGGAGAAUUGGAGGGCAAGUUUGGUGCCAGCAGCCGCGGUAAUACCGACUCCAAGAGUGUGUAUGAGAGAUGCUGCAGUUAAAAAGUCCGUAGUCAUAGAAGGGCAAAGAGAGAUGCGAGGUCUCACAGUGCGAUGAUGGAGGAGCCGAUGGGGAACAUAGUAUACCAGGGCGAGAGAUGAAAUGCCAAGACCCCUGGUGGACUGAGCGAGG